Molecule: ribosomal RNA, 279 nt
Filed under: Triticum aestivum (bread wheat)
Lineage: Eukaryota; Viridiplantae; Streptophyta; Magnoliopsida; Poales; Poaceae
Description: partial small subunit ribosomal RNA
Source: RNAcentral
AUGCGUCGCGAGGGACGGCAGCGAGGGUGGGUGCGCGUGUACGACCGCGAGCUGGUCGACCCGGAGGGCAAGCGCCGGGCCGUGCACGUCGUUGAGGGGCCGGCGGUGGCCAACGGCGGGUUCAUCAGGGCGCCGCGGAAGCCGACCAACCAGUCCAAGUCCGGCGGCCUCCGCGCGCUCGGCAGGAGCGGCAUGGCGCAAGAGGAGGAGGAGGAGCCGCAGACCCUUCCGCCGACGAUGGCCGGGCGAUUCGGAUACUACUACUCGACGGGAUGGUAG